Molecule: ribosomal RNA, 390 nt
Filed under: uncultured Cryptomonadales
Lineage: Eukaryota; Cryptophyceae; Cryptomonadales
Description: partial small subunit ribosomal RNA
Rfam family: Eukaryotic small subunit ribosomal RNA
Source: RNAcentral
GCUUGUCUCAAAGAUUAAGCCAUGCAUGUCUAAGUGUAAAUAAGUCUAUACUGUGAAACUGCGAAUGGCUCAUUAAAUCAGUUAUCGUUUAUUUGAUGGUCCCUUACUACAUGGAUAACCGUAGUAAUUCUAGAGCUAAUACAUGCACAAAGGCCCGACUCACGAAGGGCUGUAUUUAUUAGAUUUAAAGCCGACAUCUUUUGGUGAUUCAUAAUAACUUUUCGAACCUCAUGCCUUUAUGGUGGAGGUGAUUCAUUCAAAUUUCUGCCCUAUCAACUUUCGACGGUAGGAUAGAGGCCUACUGUGGUGAUAACGGGUAACGAAGAAUAAGGGUUCGAUUUCGGAGAGGGAGCCUGAGAAACGGCUACCACAUCCAAGGAAGGCAGCAGG